ACCGGGCGCGGGGGCGCACGCCUGUAGUCCUAGCUACUUGGGAGGCUGAGACAGGAGGAUCGCUGGAGUCCAGGAGUUCUGGGAUGUAGUGUACUAUGCCGAUCGGGUGUCUGCACUAAGUUUGGCAUCAAUAUGGUGACCUCCCAGGAGCAGGGGACCACCAGGUUGCCUAAGGAAGGGUGAGCCAGCCCAGGUCGGAAAUGGAGAAGGGCAAAAUGAAGCCAGCAGUGAAUCCAACACAUGAAGAGUAUGCCAUAAAUUUGCCUUUGAGUCUUCUCUUU
This is an unclassified non-coding RNA of Cricetulus griseus (Chinese hamster), 281 nucleotides long. It matches the Rfam family "Metazoan signal recognition particle RNA". Rfam says of the family: The signal recognition particle (SRP) is a universally conserved ribonucleoprotein. It is involved in the co-translational targeting of proteins to membranes. NCBI's taxonomy places the organism in Eukaryota, Metazoa, Chordata, Mammalia, Rodentia, Cricetidae. The record is from Ensembl.